This 644-nucleotide long non-coding RNA is filed under the name Sus scrofa (pig). Its description in RNAcentral is "lncRNA (ENSSSCG00035053937.1)". Lineage: Eukaryota; Metazoa; Chordata; Mammalia; Artiodactyla; Suidae. The record is from RNAcentral.
UAACACUUUAGAAAUGUAAAAAUUGCUAUACAAAUGCAAGGUCUUAUUACUCUACUAGGUUGCAGGAUUCAAACAGGCCAGGAGAGUGCAUCUCAAUUGGAAUAAUUUCUGUGAUAACAGCCUUGGGCCAUCUUUGGAAAGAAGGUACCCCGCGAGCUCUGUCCAUUUCCUUGAAUAAGAACUCUUACAAAAUGCAUGAAAGGCAGGCACCAUUAAGCCAUUUGAACUGCAUUUCUCAUUUUUCAGAUACAUCAAUCCAGGAGCCAAAGCCCGGCUUUAGAGAUUUAAAGCUGUUAAAUAGCAUGUAGACCAUCCCUCUCGUUUUAUGGAUGCAGAAACUGAGACCUAUAGCAACUUCAGUGAAGGUCAAAGCUGUAAGAUUUGUCUUCUUACCUUAUAAAAGCAACCCUGCCUCCAUGACAGGUUUGGGCUGAGGUGAUUGUGGUAUAAUGCUCCAUUUCAGAGAGAAAGGAUUCAGCAAGCACCAACCUAAGUGCUCUGUGUGUGUGUGUGUAAUUAGAGGAGGAGAAGAGGGAGCCGGAAAAAUGUCUUAUAAACUCCCUCUCCUUGUGGGGCCCAAAUACUUGCCUGAACUGUGAUAGGUAUGUAAUAAAUAUUUAAGUUGAAUUUUUUUUACUUUGGGA